UUAAAGCCUUGGUAUGAAAUAAACAUGCUCUUUUACUGUUUUGAUUGAAACUGGAGCUCAGCGUUCGAUUGGGGCCAAAAAUGAAGAAAACGGAUUGAAAUAUCAAAUUUAUAAUUAAAAUAUAUUUUUUUUUAAUGUUUACCAAACGUUGCAUGUGUUAAAUUUCUCUUAAUAUUUUUCCCCCAAGAACUGAUUACCUUUGCUGUAAUUGUCAAAACCUUUCAGGAUCGAUAUUAGGCCCUUAAUGUUUUAUAUUUUGCCUUUUUAGCAUUUUUAAUUCGAGCGUCACUGAUGAGUCUUUGGUAGACGAAACACACGUUUGACCUAAAAAAUGAAUGUCUACGUUCUUUGGACUCUUGUGAAUAGUUGUCCAAUUUAAAAUCAUACCGGAC
RNAcentral lists this long non-coding RNA (392 nucleotides) under Mytilus galloprovincialis (Mediterranean mussel). The record is from RNAcentral. Lineage: Eukaryota; Metazoa; Mollusca; Bivalvia; Mytilida; Mytilidae.